This 429-nucleotide ribosomal RNA is filed under the name uncultured bacterium. Its description in RNAcentral is "bacterial SSU rRNA". It matches the Rfam family "Bacterial small subunit ribosomal RNA", at positions 355 to 776 of the family's 1533-position model. The record is from RNAcentral.
UGGGGAAUAUUGGGCAAUGGGCGCAAGCCUGACCCAGCAAUGCCGCGUGUGUGAAGAAGGCCUGCGGGUUGUAAAGCACUUUGGGCGGGGAAGAAGGGGGCUUGGUUAAUAACCCGGCCCUUUGACGUUACCCGCAGAACAAGCACCGGCUAACUCCGUGCCAGCAGCCGCGGUAAUACGGAGGGUGCGAGCGUUAAUCGGAAUUACUGGGCGUAAAGCGUGCGUAGGCGGCCCGGUCAGUCUCGCGUGAAAGCCCCGGGCUCAACCUGGGAACUGCGCGGGAUACUGCCGGGCUGGAGUGCGGGAGAGGGCGGUGGAAUUUCCGGUGUAGCAGUGAAAUGCGUAGAGAUCGGAAGGAACACCAGUGGCGAAGGCGGCCGCCUGGACCGACACUGACGCUGAGGCACGAAAGCGUGGGGAGCAAACAGG